Molecule: ribosomal RNA, 162 nt
Filed under: Fritillaria karelinii
Lineage: Eukaryota; Viridiplantae; Streptophyta; Magnoliopsida; Liliales; Liliaceae
Description: 5.8S ribosomal RNA
Rfam family: 5.8S ribosomal RNA (bases 29-162)
About the family: 5.8S ribosomal RNA (5.8S rRNA) is a component of the large subunit of the eukaryotic ribosome. It is transcribed by RNA polymerase I as part of the 45S precursor that also contains 18S and 28S rRNA. Functionally, it is thought that 5.8S rRNA may be involved in ribosome translocation.
Source: RNAcentral
CGGGGCGACGUCCGCUCUCUAUCCAUACGACUCUCGGCAACGGAUAUCUCGGCUCUCGCAUCGAUGAAGAACGUAGCGAAAUGCGAUACUUGGUGUGAAUUGCAGAAUCCCGUGAACCAUCGAGUCUUUGAACGCAAGUUGCGCCCGAGGCCUUUCGGUUGA